CGCAGCCUUCUAAAUGAGACACAGCAUAUUAUGUUCCAGUUGAAUCAACUCAACUAAGCUUAUUUGAGUCUGUUGCCAAUGGCAAUUAAAUGAGGAACGCGACACAAAGAAUCUGAUUGGUCUGAGCUGCUGUUUGAACCGACUCCUCGAGGGUUUUCUGAUUCCAAGAAGUGCAGUGCUGAACUAAAGAAAAAAAAAAAAGAUCUGGAAAUGCUUCUGAUGAUGAGGAGUCACACCAAAACAUUCCAGUUGGAAUCCACGAAAGCUAAGAUGUUGCACAGCAUCCCCUGUCUUUCUCCUCCAUCUAGCCCCUGUAAGGAAUCAUCUCAGAGGGUAAUCUUGGGAAGGACGGUUUAGAGAACCUCCCUCAGGCCAUUUGUUCUUGUUUUUAGAUUGACUUAUGCCUUGCAGCUCAUUGAUUAAUGAGCAAUACAUUAAACACAUACAUUUUCUCUUUGUUUUAUUAGAUAAAAUCUCAACAUACCUAAAGUUACCUGAAAUUUGUUAAAUGGAUUUAGUAAAAUGAAUUAAAAUAAACUGAAAUCUAAAACAAAAUCCUUGUUUGUAUUU
This is a long non-coding RNA of Onychostoma macrolepis, 570 nucleotides long. RefSeq lists it as uncharacterized. The record is from RefSeq and is a predicted model, not a curated record. Lineage: Eukaryota; Metazoa; Chordata; Actinopteri; Cypriniformes; Cyprinidae. The transcript is spliced from 4 exons.